This 496-nucleotide ribosomal RNA is filed under the name uncultured bacterium. RNAcentral's name for it is "partial 16S ribosomal RNA". It matches the Rfam family "Bacterial small subunit ribosomal RNA", at positions 28 to 506 of the family's 1533-position model. The record is from RNAcentral.
GAUGAACGCUGGCGGCGUGCCUAAUACAUGCAAGUCGAGCGAACAGACGAGGAGCUUGCUCCUCUGACGUUAGCGGCGGACGGGUGAGUAACACGUGGAUAACCUACCUAUAAGACUGGGAUAACUUCGGGAAACCGGAGCUAAUACCGGAUAAUAUAUUGAACCGCAUGGUUCAAUAGUGAAAGACGGUUUUGCUGUCACUUAUAGAUGGAUCCGCGCCGCAUUAGCUAGUUGGUAAGGUAACGGCUUACCAAGGCAACGAUGCGUAGCCGACCUGAGAGGGUGAUCGGCCACACUGGAACUGAGACACGGUCCAGACUCCUACGGGAGGCAGCAGUAGGGAAUCUUCCGCAAUGGACGAAAGCCUGACGGAGCAACGCCGCGUGAGUGAUGAAGGUCUUCGGAUCGUAAAACUCUGUUAUUAGGGAAGAACAAAUGUGUAAGUAACUAUGCACGUCUUGACGGUACCUAAGCAGAAAGCCACGGCUAACUACGU